Molecule: ribosomal RNA, 427 nt
Filed under: uncultured bacterium
Lineage: Bacteria
Description: bacterial SSU rRNA
Rfam family: Bacterial small subunit ribosomal RNA
Source: RNAcentral
UGGGGAAUUUUGGACAAUGGGCGAAAGCCUGAUCCAGCAAUGCCGCGUGUGUGAAGAAGGCCUUCGGGUUGUAAAGCACUUUUGUCCGGAAAGAAAUCCUUGGCUCUAAUACAGUCGGGGGAUGACGGUACCGGAAGAAUAAGCACCGGCUAACUACGUGCCAGCAGCCGCGGUAAUACGUAGGGUGCGAGCGUUAAUCGGAAUUACUGGGCGUAAAGCGUGCGCAGGCGGUUUGCUAAGACCGAUGUGAAAUCCCCGGGCUCAACCUGGGAACUGCAUUGGUGACUGGCAGGCUAGAGUAUGGCAGAGGGGGGUAGAAUUCCACGUGUAGCAGUGAAAUGCGUAGAGAUGUGGAGGAACACCGAUGGCGAAGGCAGCCCCCUGGGCCUGUACUGACGCUCAUGCACGAAAGCGUGGGGAGCAAACA